GUAAGUCGGCCCCUAAGGCGAGGACGAAAGUCGUAGUCGAUGGGAAUCCGGUUCAUAUUCCGGAACCUCUUUCAAUUUCGAAGGCAGGACGCAUGAGGUGAAAUCCGGCCGGGCGACGGUUGUCCCGGUCGAAGCAGUAAGCCGUUGACAGUGGCAGGCAAAUCCACCACUUGAGGCAAGCUGUGACAGCGAGUGAUGCUACGGCAAAGCGAAGCGGACGUAAUCAUGGUGCCGGGAAAUACUGUCUAAGGCCAGGUUGAAAGGGACCGUACCGUAAUCCGACACAGGUAGGUGAGAUGAGAAAUCUCAGGCGCUCGAGAGAACUCGCGUUAAGGAACUCGGCAAAAUGCUCACGUAACUUCGGAAGAAGUGUGGCCCCUGUUUGGUUAAAGAGUGGGGGUGGCACAGAGCAGGCCCAGGCGACUGUUUAUCAAAAACACAGCCAUCUGCGAACCAGUAAUGGGACGUAUAGGUGGUGACACCUGCCCGGUGCUGGAAGGUUAAGAGGAGAUGUCAGGGGAGCCCCGAAGCAUUGAAUCGAAGCCCCAGUAAACGGCGGCCGUAACUAUAACGGUCCUAAGGUAGCGAAAUUCCUUGUCGGGUAAGUUCCGACCCGCACGAAUGGUGUAACGAUUCUGGGCACUGUCUCAACGCGAGACUCGGUGAAAUUUAUAUAUCGGUAAAGAAGCCGAUUACCCAUAGUUAGACGGAAAGACCCCGUGAACCUUCACCGUAACUUAUUAUUGGGACUUGAUUUAGCAUGUGUAGGAUAGGUGGGAGACAGUGAAGCGUGGCCGUCAGGUUGCGUGGAGUCGUCCGGUGAAAUACCACCCUUGCUGAAUUAGGUUUCUAACCUUGGCCGUGAAUCCGGUCCGGGGACAAUGAUAGGUGGGCGGUUUGACUGGGGCGGUCGCCUCCCAAACAGUAACGGAGGUGCGCGAAGGUCCCCUCGCGCCGGUUGGAAAUCGGCGUUUGAGUGUAAAGGCACAAGGGGGCUUGACUGCGAGACUGACAGGUCGAGCAGGUACGAAAGUAGGUCUUAGUGAUCUGGCGGUAGCGAGUGGAAGCGCCGUCACUUAACGGACAAAAGGUACUCCGGGGAUAACAGGCAGAUUUUCCCCAAGAGUUCACAUCGACGGGAAAGUUUGGCACCUCGAUGUCGGCUCAUCGCAUCCUGGGGCUGAAGCAGGUCCCAAGGGUUUGGCUGUUCGCCAAUUAAAGCGGUACGUGAGCUGGGUUCAGAACGUCGCGAGACAGUUCGGUCCCUAUCUGCUAUGGGCGUUGGAUGAUUGAGAGGAGCUGCAUUUAGUACGAGAGGACCGAUGUGGACGAACCUCUGGUGUACCUGUUGUUCUGCCAAGGGCACGUGCUGGGUAGCUAAGUUCGGAAGGGAUAACCGCUGAAGGCAUCUAAGUGGGAAGCCCACCCCAAGAUAAAUCAUCCCUGGGGAUUUAAUCCCCCUAAAGACUCCUGGGAGACUACCAGGUUGAUAGGUUGGAGGUCUACGCACUGCAAGGUGUUCAGCCGACCAAUACUAAUAAGUCGUGAGGCUUGACC
Molecule: ribosomal RNA, 1557 nt
Filed under: metagenome
Description: bacterial LSU rRNA
Rfam family: Bacterial large subunit ribosomal RNA
Source: RNAcentral